ACUUGUUUUGAUUUAUGCUGAAAAGGAGCUGAGAUCUGCUGGUAAGUACAACACAUAUAAAACAUAAAACUAACGAAUGAGCUUUGUUUUCAAUGCAGUUCUCAAGAUUUCAAGCUAGGUUUAUUAAGUAAAUUGCAGUAAAAAGUACAUUAAAUUGGCUAGUUCUAGUUUGGGGAGUUUCCCAAGAACUUGAUUGUUUAUUAAGUGGUACCACCUAGAUUUCUUAAGCUGGAGUCCCAAGUUCAAUUCCUGGCGCAGGUUGUUGUAGAAGUUGUAGACUACAUCAGACAUUGGUGUGUUGUGACAUGUAGUAAGUAGGGAAAAAUAUUACAAAUUUUAAGCUUGUGUUUGGAUGUAUUUGUUUUGGAAACUCUAGAUCUUUCUGAAGGGGCGUCAUUGGUGUCUUAUUUGAUGGGAACUCCAUUGUUAAAAGAACUAUUGGUCUAUCACCUAAUUACUAUCCUAUAUUCUAUUUUAAAGCUUUAAGCUGGUUUAAGUGAACAUUCAGGUUACAGUCUGAAGUCUGUCUAGUUCUUCCGAUGUUGCUCAUGGGACUGAGUACAAGGAUUGUUCCAGUGUUAACAUUUUUGCAACUUUUGAGAACUUAUUGAGCGAGAAAGGAGGUUUCUAACAAGGCUCAACUGUGUGCACAGCAUGAAAUGAAUAUGGAUUCAUCAUGUGUUUGAAACUUAGAUAAGGUUGCAAUGGUGGAAUAUUUUUAUAAAAGCCGACUGUCCUUCAAAUGGUUCGAAAUAGAAGAUUUAUUCAUUCACCGAAGAAACGAGUCAAAUGACUAAAAUGUCAAUUCCUAGACCCAUUCAAAUCCCCAGCAACGUUAACCUGCAGAAGGAAAGGGCAGUUUACAUGUCCUUCACACUCGAAGGUCACGGGGAUCAUAACUUAAAACGUGUCAUGCAGUGGUGUAGAGGUUGGACCCAUCCCCGGCAACGUCUACCUGUAGAAGGAAAGGUUAGUUUGCAUGUCCUUGACGCUCGAAGGUCAGGGAGAUCAUUACAUAAAAGGUAAAACUUGUCAUAUAUGCAGUGGGCUAGAGGUUGGGUGAGAACGGGACGUGUUGCAAUCAUUAUCAAGCAGGUAAAAUAACCGCAAGGCUUUAGAGGUAAGGGUGAGAAAAAAAAUCGUAU
Daphnia pulex (common water flea) is the source of this 1145-nucleotide long non-coding RNA. RefSeq lists it as uncharacterized. NCBI's taxonomy places the organism in Eukaryota, Metazoa, Arthropoda, Branchiopoda, Diplostraca, Daphniidae. The record is from RefSeq and is a predicted model, not a curated record. The transcript is spliced from 3 exons.